UAAAUUUAGAGUUUGAUCCUGGCUCAGGACGAACGCUGGCGGCGUGCUUAACACAUGCAAGUCGAGCGAUGAAGCUUCCUUCGGGGAGUGGAUUAGCGGCGGACGGGUGAGUAACACGUGGGUAACCUGCCUCAAAGUGGGGGAUAGCCUUCCGAAAGGAAGAUUAAUACCGCAUAAUAUAAGAGAAUCGCAUGAUUUUCUUAUCAAAGAUUUAUUGCUUUGAGAUGGACCCGCGGCGCAUUAGCUAGUUGGUAAGAUAACGGCUUACCAAGGCAACGAUGCGUAGCCGACCUGAGAGGGUGAUCGGCCACAUUGGAACUGAGACACGGUCCAGACUCCUACGGGAGGCAGCAGUGGGGAAUAUUGCGCAAUGGGGGAAACCCUGACGCAGCAACGCCGCGUGGGUGAUGAAGGUCUUCGGAUUGUAAAGCCCUGUUUUCUAGGACGAUAAUGACGGUACUAGAGGAGGAAGCCACGGCUAACUACGUGCCAGCAGCCGCGGUAAUACGUAGGUGGCGAGCGUUGUCCGGAUUUACUGGGCGUAAAGGGUGCGUAGGCGGAUGUUUAAGUGGGAUGUGAAAUCCCCGGGCUUAACCUGGGGGCUGCAUUCCAAACUGGAUAUCUAGAGUGCAGGAGAGGAAAGCGGAAUUCCUAGUGUAGCGGUGAAAUGCGUAGAGAUUAGGAAGAACACCAGUGGCGAAGGCGGCUUUCUGGACUGUAACUGACGCUGAGGCACGAAAGCGUGGGUAGCAAACAGGAUUAGAUACCCUGGUAGUCCACGCCGUAAACGAUGGAUACUAGGUGUAGGGGGUAUCAACUCCCCCUGUGCCGCAGUUAACACAAUAAGUAUCCCGCCUGGGGAGUACGGUCGCAAGAUUAAAACUCAAAGGAAUUGACGGGGGCCCGCACAAGCAGCGGAGCAUGUGGUUUAAUUCGAAGCAACGCGAAGAACCUUACCUGGACUUGACAUCCCUUGCAUAGCCUAGAGAUAGGUGAAGCCCUUCGGGGCAAGGAGACAGGUGGUGCAUGGUUGUCGUCAGCUCGUGUCGUGAGAUGUUAGGUUAAGUCCUGCAACGAGCGCAACCCUUGUUAUUAGUUGCUACCAUUAAGUUGAGCACUCUAAUGAGACUGCCUGGGUAACCAGGAGGAAGGUGGGGAUGACGUCAAAUCAUCAUGCCCCUUAUGUCCAGGGCUACACACGUGCUACAAUGGUAGGUACAAUAAGACGCAAGACCGUGAGGUGGAGCAAAACUUAUAAAACCUAUCUCAGUUCGGAUUGUAGGCUGCAACUCGCCUACAUGAAGCUGGAGUUGCUAGUAAUCGCGAAUCAGAAUGUCGCGGUGAAUACGUUCCCGGGCCUUGUACACACCGCCCGUCACACCAUGAGAGCUGGUAACACCCGAAGUCCGUGAGGUAACCGUAAGGAGCCAGCGGCCGAAGGUGGGAUUAGUGAUUGGGGUGAAGUCGUAACAAGGUAGCCGUAGGAGAACCUGCGGCUGGAUCACCUCCUUU
RNAcentral lists this ribosomal RNA (1512 nucleotides) under Clostridium botulinum. Its description in RNAcentral is "bacterial SSU rRNA". It matches the Rfam family "Bacterial small subunit ribosomal RNA". Lineage: Bacteria; Bacillati; Bacillota; Clostridia; Eubacteriales; Clostridiaceae. RNAcentral also lists the same sequence under 3 other names. The record is from RNAcentral.